RNAcentral lists this ribosomal RNA (254 nucleotides) under uncultured bacterium. RNAcentral's name for it is "partial 16S ribosomal RNA". It matches the Rfam family "Bacterial small subunit ribosomal RNA", at positions 524 to 776 of the family's 1533-position model. The record is from RNAcentral.
UACGUAGGGUGCAAGCGUUAAUCGGAAUUACUGGGCGUAAAGCGUGCGCAGGCGGUUUUGUAAGUCUGUCGUGAAAUCCCCGGGCCCAACCUGGGAAUUCGCGAUGGAGACUGCAAGGCUAGAAUCUGGCAGAGGGGGUAGAAUUCCACGUGUGAGCAGUGAAAUGCGUAGAGAUGUGGAGGAACACCGAUGGCGAAGGCAGGCCCCCUGGGUCAAGAUUGACGCUCAUGCACGAAAGCGUGGGAGCAACGAGG